RNAcentral lists this ribosomal RNA (265 nucleotides) under uncultured archaeon. RNAcentral describes it as "partial 16S ribosomal RNA". It matches the Rfam family "Archaeal small subunit ribosomal RNA", at positions 718 to 982 of the family's 1478-position model. The record is from RNAcentral.
AGUCACUGACAUUAGAUACCCCCGUAGUCCAGGGUGUAAACGCCGCAGACUUGGUGUUGGAAAUCCUUCGAGGGUAUUCAGUGCCGGAGAGAAGUUGUUAAGUCUGCUACUUGGGGAGUACGUCCGCAAGGAUGAAACUUAAAGGAAUUGGCGGGGGAGCACCGCAACGGGAGGAGCGUGCGGUUUAAUUGGAUUCAACACCGGAAAACUCACCAGGGGAGACUGUUACAUGAAACCCAGACUAAUGAUCUUGGUUGAUUUUCAG